CAGCAGCCGCGGUAAUACGAAGGGGGCUAGCGUUGUUCGGAAUUACUGGGCGUAAAGCGCACGCAGGCGGCUCGAUAAAUUAGAAGUGAAAGCCUUGGGCUUAACCUGAGAAUUGCUUUUAAGACUGUCGAGCUAGAAUCCAGAAGAGGGUAGUGGAAUUCCGAGUGUAGAGGUGAAAUUCGUAGAUAUUCGGAAGAACACCAGUGGCGAAGGCGACUACCUGGUCUGGCAUUGACGCUCAUGUGCGAAAGCGUGGGGAGCAAACAGGAUUAGAUACCCCAGUAGUCCCUGUCUCUUAUAC
Molecule: ribosomal RNA, 301 nt
Filed under: uncultured bacterium
Lineage: Bacteria
Description: partial 16S ribosomal RNA
Rfam family: Bacterial small subunit ribosomal RNA
Source: RNAcentral